This 378-nucleotide ribosomal RNA is filed under the name uncultured bacterium. Its description in RNAcentral is "bacterial SSU rRNA". It matches the Rfam family "Bacterial small subunit ribosomal RNA", at positions 29 to 439 of the family's 1533-position model. The record is from RNAcentral.
AACGAACGCUGGCGGCAGGCUUAACACAUGCAAGUCGAGCGCCCAGCAAUGGGAGCGGCGCACGGGUGAGUAACACGUGGGAACGUGCCCUUUGGUUCGGAAUAACGUAGGGAAACUUGCGCUAAUACCGGAUAAGCCCUUACGGGGAAAGAUUUAUCGCCAUUGGAGCGGCCCGCGUUGGAUUAGCUAGUUGGUGGGUAAAGCCUACCAAGGCAACGAUCCAUAGCUGGUCUGAGAGGACGACCAGCCACACUGGGACUGAGACACGGCCCAGACUCCUACGGAGGCAGCAGUGGGGAAUCUUGGACAAUGGGGGAAACCCUGAUCCAGCCAUGCCGCGUGAGUGAUGAAGGCCUUAGGGUUGUAAAACUCUUUCGG